Non-coding RNA from Paramuricea clavata, 275 nucleotides. The record is from the annotation of a GenBank genome assembly. Lineage: Eukaryota; Metazoa; Cnidaria; Anthozoa; Malacalcyonacea; Plexauridae.
CCUGUUUCGAUCUUUUAUCAUGUGGUUCUGACAAGUUUGAAGAUGUUGUGUUGUUGUUCGAUGAUUGUGAAACCUCGCUCUUGCCUCGUCCCUUGCGCUUCUUUGAUGCUGGUGUUGCCAUCAUUACAACGUACGUUUACCACUUAAUAGAUUAACAUCAAAUCUAAUAAUAUUUCUAUGAAUUUAAAAAUUUCUAAGUCAUUCAUAAAAAGCAAUUUAAUUAAAAAGAUCUUGUCUAUUAAAAAGUACAACUAAAAGUACGACCACGAACGCAG